This 468-nucleotide ribosomal RNA is filed under the name uncultured bacterium. Its description in RNAcentral is "partial 16S ribosomal RNA". It matches the Rfam family "Bacterial small subunit ribosomal RNA", at positions 28 to 507 of the family's 1533-position model. The record is from RNAcentral.
GACGAACGCUGGCGGCGUGCUUAACACAUGCAAGUCGAACGGAAAGGCCCUGCUUUUGUGGGGUGCUCGAGUGGCGAACGGGUGAGUAACACGUGAGUAACCUGCCCUUGACUUUGGGAUAACUUCGGGAAACUGGGGCUAAUACCGGAUAGGAGCUCCUGCUGCAUGGUGGGGGUUGGAAAGUUUCGGCGGUUGGGGAUGGACUCGCGGCUUAUCAGCUUGUUGGUGGGGUAGUGGCUUACCAAGGCUUUGACGGGUAGCCGGCCUGAGAGGGUGACCGGCCACAUUGGGACUGAGAUAAGGCCCAGACUCCUACGGGAGGCAGCAGUGGGGAAUAUUGCACAAUGGGCGGAAGCCUGAUGCAGCAACGCCGCGUGCGGGAUGACGGCCUUCGGGUUGUAAACCGCUUUCGCCUGUGACGAAGCGUGAGUGACGGUAAUGGGUAAAGAAGCACCGGCUAACUACGUG